GUGGGGAAUAUUGGGCAAUGGGCGAAAGCCUGACCCAGCAACGCCGCGUGAGGGAAGAAGGCCUUCGGGUUGUAAACCUCUGUCCUUGGUGACGAAAAAAAUGACGGUAGCCAAGGAGGAAGCCCCGGCUAACUACGUGCCAGCAGCCGCGGUAAUACGUAGGGGGCGAGCGUUGUCCGGAAUUACUGGGCGUAAAGGGUGCGUAGGUGGCCUUUUAAGUUGGAUGUGAAAUCCCCGGGCUUAACUUGGGUGGUGCAUCUAAUACUGGAGGGCUAGAGUGCAGGAGAGGGAAGCGGAAUUCCUAGUGUAGCGGUGAAAUGCGUAGAUAUUAGGAGGAACACCAGUGGCGAAGGCGGCUUUCUGGACUGUAACUGACACUGAGGCACGAAAGCGUGGGGAGCAAACAGGAUUAGAAACCCUUGUAGUCC
RNAcentral lists this ribosomal RNA (428 nucleotides) under uncultured bacterium. RNAcentral describes it as "partial 16S ribosomal RNA". It matches the Rfam family "Bacterial small subunit ribosomal RNA", at positions 354 to 796 of the family's 1533-position model. The record is from RNAcentral.